The sequence is a ribosomal RNA, 1900 nucleotides long. It matches the Rfam family "Eukaryotic small subunit ribosomal RNA".
AAUCCUAGUACAUACAUUUAAAAUGUGAGACUGUGGACGGCUCAGUAUAUCAGUUAUAAUCUGCUCGAUUGUAAAGGUUAUUGGAUAACCGUGGGAAAUCUAGAGCUAAUACAUGUAGGGCUUGGCCGGUGGUUUACCAUCGGUCAAUUGCAUUUAUUAGUAUCCUCCAACCGUGUGAGCAAUCACAUGUGGCGAAUCUAGAUAACUAUGCAGAUCGUAUGGCCUUGAGCUGACGACAUUUCGAUUGAAUUUCUGCCCUAUCAACUUUGUUGGCAGUGUAGUGGACUGCCAAGGUUUUAACGGGUAACGGGGGAUCAGGGUUCGAUUCCGGAGAGGGAGCCUGAGAAACGGCUACCACAUCCAAGGAAGGCAGCAGGCGCGCAAAUUACCCAAUCCAGACAAUGGGAGGUGGUGACGAAAAGUACCGGAUGGCGACAUUGUUGCCAGUCUGGAAUGAAAACAAUUUAAGCAAUUGAAUUGAGUAACGACUGGAGGGCAAGUCUGGUGCCAGCAGCCGCGGUAAUUCCAGCUCCAGUGGCGUAUCUCAAAGUUGCUGCGCUUAAAACGCUCGUAGUUGGAUCACUCACUAUGCAUCGGUGUGCUUUGCUGUCGUGUUUUAUUGAUUAAACAUUAAGCAAUUAGUGUCCCUUAUCAAAUUGGCAUGGCAGCGGGUUUUUUAGCCGAUGUGUAGUAAUUGCACGUGAGGAUGGUCGUUGACCUUGAGUGUGUUGAUGACUGUGUCUCACGGGGUGUGCCUUGAGUAAAUCAGAGUGCUUAAAGCAGGCUUUACGCUUGAAUGUUGAUAGCAUGGAACGAACAAUCGUGUAUGGUGUGCACUGAGAACGGUGUGCAGUUUCUGUCACUGCAGUGCAUGACACCGACCACCAAUUACGUAUGUUGGUUACGUAUUGGGGUACUGAUUAAGAGGAGCGGUUGGGGGCAUUGGUAUUUGGCAGCGAGAGGUGAAAUUCUUGGACCUGCCAAGGACUAACAAAUGCGAAGGCAUCUGUCCAGACCGUAUCUAUUAAUCAAGAACGAAAGAGAGAGGUUCGAAGACGAUCAGAUACCGUCCUAGUUCUCUCUGUAAACUAUGCCGACCCGGGAUCAGUUUGGAGUUAAUUUGUCCACGCUCGGAGUUGGUCCCCCUGGGAAACCUAAAGUUUUUCGGUUGCGGGGGGAGUAUGGUCGCAAGGCUGAAACUUAAAGGAAUUGACGGAAGGGCACCACCAGGGGUGGAGCCUGCGGCUUAAUUUGACUCAACACGGGAAAACUUACCUGAUCAAAACAUUUUAAGGAUAAACAGAUUGCAGUUCUUUUUUGAUUGAAUGAUUGGUGGUGCAUGGCCGUUCUUAGUUCGUGAAGUGAUUUGUCAGGUCUAUUCCGGUAACGAACGAGACCACAAUCUCCAUUUGACGAGCUGAAGCAGAUGUUGGGUAAACUAAUUUUUGGCAACAAAAGUUUUUUUACUCAAUAUUGUAGGUAUUUGUAUUGUUGCCAUCUCCUCCCGGCCAGUGGAAACACUAGUCGGUGGGGUGGUAAUUGUGCAUUAUCCCUUCAGUCUAGCAGUUCAUGAUUCGCAAGAGUUGUGAGUUGUAUCAUGGAGAGACAACGGAAUAUAUUAAAAUCCGAGGAAGUGUGGCUAUAACAGGUCUGUGAUGCCCUUAGAUGUUCAGGGCUGCACGCGCGCUACAAUGGCAGCGACAAAGAGCAUCUGGAUCGAAAGAUUUGGGUAAUCUUGUAAUCGCUGCCGUGAUGGGGAUUGACGUUUGUAAAUACGUCAUGAAAGAGGAAUCCCUAGUACGUGCGAUUCAUGAAAUCGCGCGGAUUUAGUCCCUGCCCUUUGUACACACCGCCCGUCGCUACUACCGAGCGAAUGGUGUCAUAAUACCUUGGGAGCGGA